RNAcentral lists this ribosomal RNA (253 nucleotides) under uncultured bacterium. RNAcentral's name for it is "partial 16S ribosomal RNA". It matches the Rfam family "Bacterial small subunit ribosomal RNA", at positions 524 to 776 of the family's 1533-position model. The record is from RNAcentral.
UACGAAGGGGGCUAGCGUUGUUCGGAAUUACUGGGCGUAAAGCGCACGUAGGCGGAUUGUUAAGUCAGAGGUGAAAUCCCGGAGCUCAACUUCGGAACUGCCUUUGAUACUGAGGAUCUUGAGUUCGGGAGAGGUGAGUGGAACUGCGAGUGUAGAGGUGAAAUUCGUAGAUAUUCGCAAGAACACCAGUGGCGAAGGCGGCUCACUGGCCCGAUACUGACGCUGAGGCACGAAAGCGUGGGGAGCAAACAGG